GUAGCUUGCUACCGGACCUAGCGGCGGACGGGUGAGUAAUGCUUAGGAAUCUGCCUAUUAGUGGGGGACAACAUCUCGAAAGGGAUGCUAAUACCGCAUACGUCCUACGGGAGAAAGCAGGGGAUCUUCGGACCCUGCGCUAAUAGAUGAGCCUAAGUCGGAUUAGCUAGUUGGUGGGGUAAAGGCCUACCAAGGCGACGAUCUGUAG
RNAcentral lists this ribosomal RNA (208 nucleotides) under Acinetobacter baumannii OIFC143. Its description in RNAcentral is "partial 16S ribosomal RNA". It matches the Rfam family "Bacterial small subunit ribosomal RNA", at positions 75 to 286 of the family's 1533-position model. Lineage: Bacteria; Pseudomonadati; Pseudomonadota; Gammaproteobacteria; Moraxellales; Moraxellaceae. The record is from RNAcentral.